This 921-nucleotide ribosomal RNA is filed under the name uncultured archaeon. Its description in RNAcentral is "bacterial SSU rRNA". It matches the Rfam family "Archaeal small subunit ribosomal RNA", at positions 1 to 928 of the family's 1478-position model. The record is from RNAcentral.
UUUCCGGUUGAUCCCGCCGGACCUGACUGCUAUCGGAUUGAUACUAAGCCAUGCGAGUCUUUGCAGUAAUGCAAGGCAUACGGCUCAGUAACACGUAGUCAACUUACCCUAUGGACGAGGAUAAUCUCGGGAAACUGAGCAUAAUACUCGAUAGAUCAUAAUGCCUGGAAUGGUUUAUGGUUGAAAUGAUUCGUCGCCAUAGGAUGGGACUGCGGCCUAUCAGCUUGUUGGUGAGGUAAUGGCCCACCAAGGCGAUUACAGGUACGGGCUCUGAGAGGAGAAGCCCGGAGAUGGGUACUGAGACAAGGACCCAGGCCCUAUGGGGCGCAGCAGGCGAGAAAACUUUGCAAUGUGCGAAAGCACGACAAGGUUAAUCCGAGUGAUUUCUGCUAAAGAAAUCUUUUGCAAGUCAUAAAACCACUAGUGAAUAAGGGGUGGGCAAGUUCUGGUGUCAGCCGCCGCGGUAAAACCAGCACCUCAAGUGGUCAGGAGGAUUAUUGGGCCUAAAGCAUCCGUAGCCGGCUCUGUAAGUUUUCGGUUAAAUCCAUGUGCUCAACGCAUGGGCUGCCGAAAAUACUGCAUAGCUAGGGAGUGGGAGAGGUAGACGGUACUCGGUAGGAAGGGGUAAAAUCCUUUGAUCUAUCGAUGACCACCUGUGGCGAAGGCGGUCUACCAGAACACGUUCGACGGUGAGGGAUGAAAGCUGGGGGAGCAAACCGGAUUAGAUACCCGGGUAGUCCCAGCUGUAAACGAUGCAGACUCGAUGAUGCAUUGGCAUAUAGCCAGUGCAGUGUCGCAGGGAAGCCGUUAAGUCUGCCGCCUGGGAAGUACGUACGCAAGUAUGAAACUUAAAGGAAUUGGCGGGGGAGCACCACAAGGGGUGAAGCCUGCGGUUCAAUUGGAGUCAACGCCGGGAAGGGC